This 934-nucleotide long non-coding RNA is filed under the name Homo sapiens (human). Its description in RNAcentral is "HSALNT0393135". The record is from RNAcentral. Lineage: Eukaryota; Metazoa; Chordata; Mammalia; Primates; Hominidae.
AGAGGCUGCGCCAGGCGCAGAGGCGCGGGAAGCGCGGCAGUCCCCUUGCUCGCGCCCUGAGGCCGCCCCACAGCCUGCGCCCCCACCCGGCCCAACCGUCACUGUCCCGUCGGUCCGGCAGCCGAAACGUAGGCCAAAGGUGCAUGCGUCUGCCUCCCGCCUAGGCGCAGGCCGAGGCACCAGCGUCCCCCCUCACCGAGCCCGCGUCCCCGACUUCGGAGGGCAGUGUGCAGCGGGAAAGUCCACGGACUGAAGAGGUGUCCCAGGGCACUGCAAGUGCGCGUGCGCGUGGCCCCCGCACCGGCUGGAGCCCGGAACGGCCGUACCGCGCCCGCCUCUGGUUUACGUCUGUUCGCGGCACCAGGCAAGGGGAGGAGACUGAGCUGGCUUUUGAUUGGACAGCGGGAAGACAUGGGGCGGGAAGAAGCCCGGUGAUUGGUGGGGACAGCGCGUUCCUGGAUUUGAAGCGAGGAAGCCGCGCGCCCUGCGAGUCCGGAGGAGGAAAUGGAGCUCUGCGCUGCGUGGGACCCGGGGGACGGCUCCCGUUGGCGCCGCCUUCAAGGUAAGGGAUUAAGAGGCCGAGAGAGAUAUCGUCUGCGAGGGUGAGGAUACUGGAGGUUGGCAGUGUCAGCAUCGCAAGAGUGCUCUACCAGAGGAGGAGGAGGAGGAGGAAGGAGCUGGGCAUAACUGGACCAUCUCGAUCCAGCCCGUGGGGAAUCCAGAGGGGAUAACAAGAGGAUAUAACCACAGGACAAUUCAUUAGGCUGUGUUUUGACGUUUCCUGAAUUCUAUUCCAAAUUAUUCACAAAGGCAUAUUAAAAUAAUUUUAUCUUACAAAUUCACAUAUUUAAAAUUUGAACAUGGAAACAGACUCUAGAUGACAUCAAAUAUUCCUUAUUAUGAUAUACAAGAAUGUAACAUAUGCUAAAUAUUC